RNAcentral lists this ribosomal RNA (644 nucleotides) under Cortinarius aavae. RNAcentral's name for it is "eukaryotic LSU rRNA". It matches the Rfam family "Eukaryotic large subunit ribosomal RNA", at positions 1 to 626 of the family's 3401-position model. The record is from RNAcentral. Lineage: Eukaryota; Fungi; Basidiomycota; Agaricomycetes; Agaricales; Cortinariaceae.
GUGACCUCAAAUCAGGUAGGACUACCCGCUGAACUUAAGCAUAUCAAUAAGCGGAGGAAAAGAAACUAACAAGGAUUCCCCUAGUAACUGCGAGUGAAGCGGGAAAAGCUCAAAUUUAAAAUCUGGCGGUCUUUUGGCUGUCCGAGUUGUAAUCUAGAGAAGUGUUAUCCGCGCUGGACCGUGUACAAGUCUCCUGGAAUGGAGCAUCAUAGAGGGUGAGAAUCCCGUCUUUGACAUGGACUGCCAGGGCUUUGUGAUGCGCUCUCAAAGAGUCGAGUUGUUUGGGAAUGCAGCUCAAAAUGGGUGGUAAAUUCCAUCUAAAGCUAAAUAUUGGCGAGAGACCGAUAGCGAACAAGUACCGUGAGGGAAAGAUGAAAAGAACUUUGGAAAGAGAGUUAAACAGUACGUGAAAUUGCUGAAAGGGAAACGCUUGAAGUCAGUCGCGUCGUCCAGGGAUCAACCUUGCUUUUGCUUGGUGCACUUUCUGGUUUGACGGGUCAGCAUCAAUUUUGACUAUUGGAAAAAGGUUGAGGGAAUGUGGCAUCUCUAGAUGUGUUAUAGCCCUUGGUCACAUACAAUGGUUGGGAUUGAGGAACUCAGCACGCCGCAAGGCCGGGUUUUAUACCACGUACGUGCUAGGAUGC